GAUAGUAGUAAAUAUUCAAAGGAGAACUUCCAAGGCCGAAGUGGAGAACGGUUGCAUGUGAACAGCAGUUGAACGUGGAUCAGUCGGUCCUGAGAAAUAGGCGAGUGCCAUUCUGAAUGGACAGACGAUGGCCUCCGUUGCCCUCAGCCAAUCGAAAGGGAGUCCCGUUCAGAUCCCCGAAUCUGGAGUGGCGGAGGUGGACGCCGCCAAGCCUCCAGCGCAGUAAUGCGAACGAUCCCAGAGAAGCCGGCGAAAGGCCCUGGGGAGAGUUCUUUUCUCCUUGUGAAGGGCAAGGCGCCCUGGAAUUGGGUUCGCCUGGAGAGAGGGGUCCGUGCCUUGGAAAGCGUCAAGGUUCCAGUGGCAUCUGAUGAACUCUGGCUGGCCCUUGAAAAUGCAGGAAAGAGGGUGUAAAUCUGGCGCCAGGCUGUACCCAUAUCCGCAGCAUUUCUCCCUCUGGAACUAAGACAUCUAGGCC
Molecule: non-coding RNA, 475 nt
Filed under: Chlorocebus sabaeus (green monkey)
Lineage: Eukaryota; Metazoa; Chordata; Mammalia; Primates; Cercopithecidae
Description: Eukaryotic large subunit ribosomal RNA
Rfam family: Eukaryotic large subunit ribosomal RNA
Source: Rfam by way of RNAcentral